CUGAGCAAGUUUAGUUCUAUUCCAGUUACUGAAGAGGCUUGUUGCCUUGCAUUAAGUAUAUCCUAUGCAAAUUCUGAUUUUUCUGUGAAGUCAGAAGGCAGACUUGCCGUGGAGAUGGAAGGCAGCCCCUCGAGGGAAGUGGUUGGUUUGAAUUGGCAUGCUGAGCAAUGAUGCAAGAACAUAAAAGUUUGGAAAUCAAGGCACCAGUCCUGCAAAAGGAUACAGAUAUACCUCCAGAGCCCUGUUUGUUAGGACCCCUGUCUCUGCCAGGUGUUUGUUUUUGCAGGACAGAAGGAAGAGUGGAUAAUCGACCUGUCCUCGGCGUGGAAAAUUCGGUUUUCUGGCUGUGGUUGGCAAUCAUAGGAGAACACAUCUGGACAAACUCUUCAGAUAAAUAUCCAGAGGCAAAAGAAAAGCUGUGGCAUCUUUACCAGGAUGGGCUGGUUUGGAGGAAAAGACCUGCCCACAAGUGCAGCUUCCAUGCAAUGCUGUGGUACCAAUACCAUCAUGUAUUUUGUUCUUCCUUUGCAAUGGCAGUAAGAAACAAAGCAGGUAUAUUCACUGCUUUAUGA
Long non-coding RNA from Cyanistes caeruleus (blue tit), 572 nucleotides. NCBI's taxonomy places the organism in Eukaryota, Metazoa, Chordata, Aves, Passeriformes, Paridae. The record is from Ensembl.